UUUAUAAAUGACUGUAAGACUGGAUAGACAUAGGCACAUCUGUUGCAGGCUUGGCACAAGAAGCAGUGCAGGACUGUGGUUCCUGAGAAGGAAACAAAGAAGUGACAGCCACGUCCGCCCCAGCUUUCUGCCUGGGGCUACUGCACUUUCGGACCUAGUAGAGGAGUCCGGGCAGAGCACUGAGAUUCCACCGAGCAGAGAGGCAGAGUUUGGUGAAACCACACAUCCAAGAAAUCUGGCAACUUCUAAGCAAGAUAAAUACAGAGAAAACAUUACCUUGACACGUCAGUGACAAACUCCUGAACACUAAAGACAAAAAGGAACAAGGAGCACUUCAAAUGCAGAAAGUGAACCGGAAAGAGGAAAGGAUCCCUCCUGGUUUACAGGUGGUUCUGUGGAACAGUCCACCACCAACUAGGAGUGAGUUGCAUCAUUGGUGGCCCUGAAGGAUAGAGGAGAGGGGGUCUCCUUCACAAGGACAGGACUCUGAAGAGUUUAUAUGUGUUCACUUUGCUGGCUGGAGAGUUGGUCCAAGAUUUUACCUACUUACAGCAAGAGAGAACUUGUAUUUCCUGAAGAUCUACUGUGCACCUGUGACUAAGUCAAUGGUAUGGAAAGGUGGGGAAGGGAUGGGGUGGUUCUCCCAAGUGAGAGAAGAAUUUAAUCACUGAGAUUGUUUCAGAUGCUCACUAACUGUAAUAAUAAAAAGCAGGUCAAUAUUUA
Molecule: long non-coding RNA, 723 nt
Organism: Chinchilla lanigera (long-tailed chinchilla)
Lineage: Eukaryota; Metazoa; Chordata; Mammalia; Rodentia; Chinchillidae
Exons: 4
Source: RefSeq, a predicted model, not a curated record